GAUGAGCGCUAGCGGCAGGCCUAACACAUGCAAGUCGAGGGGUAGAGGUUGCUUGCAACCUUGAGACCGGCGCACGGGUGCGUAACGCGUAUGCAAUCUGCCUUGUACUGAGGGAUAGCCCAGAGAAAUUUGGAUUAAUACCUCAUAGUAUCUUUUCCCGGCAUCGGGAGAUUAUUAAAGUUCCAACGGUACAAGAUGAGCAUGCGUCCCAUUAGCUAGUUGGUAUGGUAACGGCAUACCAAGGCAAUGAUGGGUAGGGGUCCUGAGAGGGAGAUCCCCCACACUGGUACUGAGACACGGACCGGACUCCUACGGGAGGCAGCAGUGAGGAAUAUUGGUCAAUGGGCGCAAGCCUGAACAAGCCAUGCCGCGUGCAGGAUGAAGCAUCUAUGGUGUGUAAACUGCUUUUAUACGGGAAGAAACACCGGUUCGUGAACCGGCUUGACGGUACCGUAAGAAUAAGGAUCGGCUAACUCCGUGCCAGCCGCCGCCGUAA
RNAcentral lists this ribosomal RNA (496 nucleotides) under uncultured bacterium. RNAcentral describes it as "partial 16S ribosomal RNA". It matches the Rfam family "Bacterial small subunit ribosomal RNA", at positions 28 to 523 of the family's 1533-position model. The record is from RNAcentral.